Molecule: long non-coding RNA, 524 nt
Organism: Larimichthys crocea (large yellow croaker)
Lineage: Eukaryota; Metazoa; Chordata; Actinopteri; Sciaenidae
Exons: 3
Source: RefSeq, a predicted model, not a curated record
CUUGCACUCAGUCUUUAUGCGAUGAACUAAAGUAUUUAUCAGUAAAACACUUUUACCAUCCGGUUGGCGCGACGUUUUGCGCCCUCCUUCGGUUCGGUGCAGAGCUCCACAGCAGACCUAACGGCAGCAUGUCAGUCCUGUCUUCCAUCUGAGCGCAGCUGCCAGGAGAACUGCCGCCUCAGGACAAUGACCAGCCACCCAGCAAAGCAGCAGUAACCAGGAGUGACAGCCACUAGAGAGCAAGAGAGGCACAGACAUCAGAUGGUAAAGGUUGGGUCCUGACCGUCUGAAGAAAAAAAACAAAACAAGGAAAGGUCAGCAGACAUGUUAGGAGAUGCCAAGAGACUCACGGACUGGCUUUAAGUGGUUACCUCCCGCAGGCCAUUCGGUCACAGCAUGAAGAGAGCAGGGGCGAUGGCAAAUGACACAACGCUUUAUACCUUCCCUAAUCUCUUUGUCUGCUCAAAGAAAGACCUGAAAGACAAAGAAGAAUCAUACUCAAAGAGUUAAAGAGCACUGCUUCC